RNAcentral lists this unclassified non-coding RNA (1950 nucleotides) under uncultured fungus. RNAcentral describes it as "sequence contains 18S rRNA gene, ITS1, 5.8S rRNA gene, ITS2, 28S rRNA gene". The stretch from base 840 to 1950 matches the Rfam family "Eukaryotic large subunit ribosomal RNA", at positions 1 to 961 of the family's 3401-position model. Lineage: Eukaryota; Fungi. The record is from RNAcentral.
GGAAGGAUCAUUAACACGUUAUCCAACGUUAACCAAUGAGAAUCGUUUUCACGCUCCCUUCACGGAGAAUGAGCGGGGUUCGUAGAGGUGUUGAAAGGGAUUGCAGCCGCUUCGCGGUGGCUGCAGUCAGCCUCUAUCUACUACUUAUGCGUGACAGAAAUGUCCGUAUAGACGCUGUAUCUUUUUGUGGAGAUUCAUCUUGCACAGUGCUCUCCUUUCAUUGAGCUGCUGCCUGCAGGAACUAUAUACUUAACUUAUUUCACCUUUUUGCUAGUUGACUUUUAUAUGUUGUUCAUCUUACGUUUCGGCGUAAGGGUUCACACGUUUAAUUAUUUGAACGUUAAAAAUACAACUCUUAGCAAUGGAUAUCUUGGUUCUCGCAACGAUGAAGAACGCAGCGAAAUGCGAUACGUAAUGCGAAUUGCAGAAUUCAGUGAAUCAUCAAAUCUUUGAACGCAAAUUGCGCUCCUGGGUAGCCCUAGGAGCACGCCUCUCUCAGUAUCGGUUCAACAAUCUCUCAGCAGCGUGUUUGUUUUAUUUUAAUAGAAUGAAUUGCGUGUUGGCUGGAUAAUGAGAGUCUGUAUGCUUGCGUGCAGUCUCUUUAAGUACAUGGAGUUAGCAUCCAACUUUCGAUCAAUUCAGUUUCGGCUGAUAGUCAGUCUCCGACUGUUGUUCGUAUAGUGACGUGAAUAUUGGACCCUUGUGGUCUUUCCUUUUACGUUUAUCUAUUGAAUGACGCUUAAGUUAGAGAUUUGGUGAACGUUCGUGAAGUAAUGUUUUAACGCGAGAAAACCAUAUGAUUAGCGAAGAAUAGUAAUAUAAUUUGCGAAUCUGAAUUUUGAUCUGAGAUGAAGUGAGACAACCCCCUGAAUUUAAGCAUAUUAAUAAGGGGAGGAAAAGAAACUAACAAGGAUUCCCCUAGUAACGGCGAGUGAAGCGGGAAGAGCUCAAUUUGAAAAUCGAUCUCCUAAACGGGACGUCGAGUUGUAGCCUAGAGACGUACUAUCAGUUGAAACCUGGGUAUAAGUUCUUUGGAAUGAGGCAUCAUAGAGGGUGAGAAUCCCGUAUAUGACCCAAAGUUUUCAACGUACGAUGUAUGUUCAUCGAGUCGAGUUGUUUGGGAUUGCAGCUCUAAAUGGGUGGUAAGUUUCAUCUAAAGCUAAAUAUAGGCGAGAGACCGAUAGCGAACAAGUACCGUGAGGGAAAGAUGAAAAGAACUUUGAAAAGAGAGUUAAAAGUACUUGAAAUUGCUAAGAGGGAAGCGCUAGAAACCAGUGAUACGCUGAGUCAAUCGCUUUCAGCCCCACUAGCUUGCGUACGUAAUGGGCAACCUUGCGUGCGUAAUCGAAAGGGUGGUUGGGGGUUUAUGAUUUAGUGUCAGUCAAGAUCAAUUCGAAUUGUGGGAGAAGGUAGCGAGAAAGGUAGGUGAGCAAUCACUGUUAUAUUCUUGUUACUCUACCUCGGCUUGGAUUGAGGAAGUAAUGGUGCGCCGCUUGCGGCUUGGUCUCACAUCUCUGUUGCCCUAUCUGUUCUGAUAGCAAUGCUAUCUUUGUGGAGAAAGGUAAUACUGGGUGUGGUGAUUCUAUGUGCCAUCACGAUCUUGUACGAAAUGGUUUUUAUCGACCCGUCUUGAAACACGGACCAAGGAGUCUAACAUCUAUGCAAGUAUUUUGGUGCAAAACCAUGAUGCGUAAUGAAAGUAAAGGCAGACUUGUUCUGCUGAGGUAGGAAUCCCGUCAAAAGGAGGCACUAUCGACCGAUCAUCACUUGUGAAAGAUUUGAGUAAGAGCAUAUCUGUUGGGACCCGAAAGAUGGUGAUCUAUGCCUGAACAGGGUGAAGCCAGGGGAAACUCUGGUGGAGGCUCGUAGCGAUACUGACGUGCAAAUCGUUCGUCUGAUUUGGGUAUAGGGGCGAAAGACUAAUCGAACCAUCUAGUAGCUGGUUCCCUC